GCCAAUGUAAGACGUGCCUUUCACCUUCUUCCACGAUUAUGAGGACUGCCAGCCACUUGGAACUACUCUCAAAAAGUACCAGAAGUAACUCAUGAGUAAGUUACUCAACCAGGAAAAGCACAUAGAACAGCAUAGAGAUUGCCUUAAGGAAGAAGCUACUGCUGCUGCCAUUCUGCAUUGGGAAGCUCAUCAAACACAUCAUGGGUAUUAUAGCGCAGGAAAACAGCCUGCCUGCUGCAUGGCACGAGUGACUACGCCACCAUCUUGAGGAAAACCAUCACAAUGCCCAAUGUUUGACUCCUGCGUAUCACGGUGUUCUGAAGCAAGGUCUUUUUCCCCGGAAGUAACAAGUCACAGCAUGGAAGUCUGAGAUGUAACUAGCUGCACUUGUCUUUACCCUAAAUGCUUGCUAUCUAAAGGACAUUCUCUAGAGGAGAUUGCGAAAUCCACCGUAUCACAACCACCCAAGAUAUCAUUUCUGUUCAUAAGUCCCUAUUAAAUAUGUAUUUCUGAGAAA
This is a long non-coding RNA of Homo sapiens (human), 517 nucleotides long. RefSeq lists it as uncharacterized. The record is from RefSeq and is a predicted model, not a curated record. NCBI's taxonomy places the organism in Eukaryota, Metazoa, Chordata, Mammalia, Primates, Hominidae. The transcript is spliced from 3 exons.